GACGAACGCUGGCGGCGUGCUUAACACAUGCAAGUCGAGCGGAAAGGCCCUUCGGGGUACUCGAGCGGCGAACGGGUGAGUCACACGUGAGUAACCUGCCCCAGACUUUGGGAUAACCCUCGGAAACGGGGGCUAAUACCGGAUACGACACAGCUUCGCAUGGGGUCUGUGUGGAAAGUUUUUCGGUUUGGGAUGGGCUCGCGGCCUAUCAGCUUGUUGGUGGGGUGAUGGCCUACCAAGGCGACGACGGGUAGCCGGCCUGAGAGGGCGACCGGCCACACUGGGACUGAGACACGGCCCAGACUCCUCCGGGAGGCAGCAGUGGGGAAUAUUGCACAAUGGGCGGAAGCCUGAUGCAGCGACGCCGCGUGAGGGAUGACGGCCUUCGGGUUGUAAACCUCUUUCAGCAGGGACGAAGCGUAAGUGACGGUACCUGCAGAAGAAGCGCCGGCCAACUACGUG
Molecule: ribosomal RNA, 462 nt
Filed under: uncultured bacterium
Lineage: Bacteria
Description: partial 16S ribosomal RNA
Rfam family: Bacterial small subunit ribosomal RNA
Source: RNAcentral